GGGUUGUGAGGUUAAGCGACUAAGCGUACACGGUGGAUGCCCUGGCAGUCAGAGGCGAUGAAGGACGUGCUAAUCUGCGAUAAGCGUCGGUGAGGUGAUAUGAACCGUUAUAACCGGCGAUUUCCGAAUGGGG
This 133-nucleotide ribosomal RNA is filed under the name Escherichia coli. Its description in RNAcentral is "partial 23S ribosomal RNA". It matches the Rfam family "Bacterial large subunit ribosomal RNA", at positions 1 to 123 of the family's 2925-position model. The record is from RNAcentral. Lineage: Bacteria; Pseudomonadati; Pseudomonadota; Gammaproteobacteria; Enterobacterales; Enterobacteriaceae.